AACGAACGCUGGCGGCGUGGAUUAGGCAUGCAAGUCGUACGCGAAAGAGGGGGCAACCCCUUGAGUAGAGUGGCGAACGGGUGAGUAACGCGUGAGAAACCUGCCUUCAACAGGGGGAUAACACUCCCAACGGGGUGCUAAUACCGCAUGAGACCACGGGAUCGCAUGGUCCUGAGGUCAAAGGUGGCCUCUGCUUGCAAGCUACAGGUUGAAGAUGGUCUCGCGUCCCAUUAGCUAGUUGGCGGGGUAACGGCCCACCAAGGCGACGAUGGGUAGCUGGUCUGAGAGGAUGGUCAGCCACACUGGGACUGAGAUACGGCCCAGACUCCUACGGGAGGCAGCAGUCGAGAGGCUUCGGCAAUGGGGGAAACCCUGACCGAGCGACGCCGCGUGAGGGAUGAAGGCCCUUGGGUUGUAAACCUCUUUUGUUCGGGAAGAAGUGCGAUCAGGUGAAUAAUCUGGUCGUUUGACGGUACCGGACGAAUAAGCUCCGGCUAACUCCGUGCCAGCAGCCGCGGUAACACGGGGGGAGCAAGCGUUGUUCGGAAUCACUGGGCGUAAAGGGCGUGUAGGCGGUCAGGUAAGUGAGAUGUGAAACGCCUCGGCUCACCCGAGGACCUGCAUCUCAAACUGCCUGGCUUGAGUAUGGGAGAGGAUGAGGGAAUUCCUGGUGUAGCGGUGAAAUGCGUAGAUAUCAGGAGGAACACCGGUGGCGAAAGCGCUCAUCUGGCCCAAUACUGACGCUGAGGCGCGAAAGCUAGGGGAGCAAACGGGAUUAGAUACCCCGGUAGUCCUAGCCGUAAACGGUGAGCACUAGGUGUUGGAGGCAUCGACCCCUCCAGUGCCGCAGCUAACGCAUUAAGUGCUCCGCCUGGGGAGUACGGCCGCAAGGUUG
Molecule: ribosomal RNA, 895 nt
Filed under: uncultured bacterium
Lineage: Bacteria
Description: bacterial SSU rRNA
Rfam family: Bacterial small subunit ribosomal RNA
Source: RNAcentral